Molecule: ribosomal RNA, 428 nt
Filed under: Acidobacteriota bacterium
Lineage: Bacteria; Pseudomonadati; Acidobacteriota
Description: Acidobacteria bacterium partial 16S ribosomal RNA
Rfam family: Bacterial small subunit ribosomal RNA
Source: RNAcentral
UAGGGAAUUUUCGUCAAUGGGGGAAACCCUGAACGAGCAAUGCCGCGUGAGUGAAGAAGGUCUUCGGAUCGUAAAGCUCUGUUGUAAGUGAAGAACGGCUCAUAGAGGAAAUGCUAUGGGAAUGACGGUAGCUUACCAGAAAGCCACGGCUAACUACGUGCCAGCAGCCGCGGUAAUACGUAGGUGGCAAGCGUUAUCCGGAAUCAUUGGGCGUAAAGGGUGCGUAGGUGGCGUACUAAGUCUGUAGUAAAAGGCAAUGGCUCAACCAUUGUAAGCUAUGGAAACUGGUAUGCUGGAGUGCAGAAGAGGGCGAUGGAAUUCCAUGUGUAGCGGUAAAAUGCGUAGAUAUAUGGAGGAACACCAGUGGCGAAGGCGGUCGCCUGGUCUGUAACUGACACUGAGGCACGAAAGCGUGGGGAGCAAAUAGG